This 1786-nucleotide ribosomal RNA is filed under the name Escherichia coli. Its description in RNAcentral is "partial 23S ribosomal RNA". It matches the Rfam family "Bacterial large subunit ribosomal RNA", at positions 1177 to 2925 of the family's 2925-position model. The record is from RNAcentral. Lineage: Bacteria; Pseudomonadati; Pseudomonadota; Gammaproteobacteria; Enterobacterales; Enterobacteriaceae.
GGGGCUAAACCAUGCACCGAAGCUGCGGCAGCGACACUGUGUGUUGUUGGGUAGGGGAGCGUUCUGUAAGCCUGUGAAGGUGUGCUGUGAGGCAUGCUGGAGGUAUCAGAAGUGCGAAUGCUGACAUAAGUAACGAUAAAGCGGGUGAAAAGCCCGCUCGCCGGAAGACCAAGGGUUCCUGUCCAACGUUAAUCGGGGCAGGGUGAGUCGACCCCUAAGGCGAGGCCGAAAGGCGUAGUCGAUGGGAAACAGGUUAAUAUUCCUGUACUUGGUGUUACUGCGAAGGGGGGACGGAGAAGGCUAUGUUGGCCGGGCGACGGUUGUCCCGGUUUAAGCGUGUAGGCUGGUUUUCCAGGCAAAUCCGGAAAAUCAAGGCUGAGGCGUGAUGACGAGGCACUACGGUGCUGAAGCAACAAAUGCCCUGCUUCCAGGAAAAGCCUCUAAGCAUCAGGUAACAUCAAAUCGUACCCCAAACCGACACAGGUGGUCAGGUAGAGAAUACCAAGGCGCUUGAGAGAACUCGGGUGAAGGAACUAGGCAAAAUGGUGCCGUAACUUCGGGAGAAGGCACGCUGAUAUGUAGGUGAAGUCCCUCGCGGAUGGAGCUGAAAUCAGUCGAAGAUACCAGCUGGCUGCAACUGUUUAUUAAAAACACAGCACUGUGCAAACACGAAAGUGGACGUAUACGGUGUGACGCCUGCCCGGUGCCGGAAGGUUAAUUGAUGGGGUCAGCGCAAGCGAAGCUCUUGAUCGAAGCCCCGGUAAACGGCGGCCGUAACUAUAACGGUCCUAAGGUAGCGAAAUUCCUUGUCGGGUAAGUUCCGACCUGCACGAAUGGCGUAAUGAUGGCCAGGCUGUCUCCACCCGAGACUCAGUGAAAUUGAACUCGCUGUGAAGAUGCAGUGUACCCGCGGCAAGACGGAAAGACCCCGUGAACCUUUACUAUAGCUUGACACUGAACAUUGAGCCUUGAUGUGUAGGAUAGGUGGGAGGCUUUGAAGUGUGGACGCCAGUCUGCAUGGAGCCGACCUUGAAAUACCACCCUUUAAUGUUUGAUGUUCUAACGUGGACCCGUGAUCCGGGUUGCGGACAGUGUCUGGUGGGUAGUUUGACUGGGGCGGUCUCCUCCUAAAGAGUAACGGAGGAGCACGAAGGUUGGCUAAUCCUGGUCGGACAUCAGGAGGUUAGUGCAAUGGCAUAAGCCAGCUUGACUGCGAGCGUGACGGCGCGAGCAGGUGCGAAAGCAGGUCAUAGUGAUCCGGUGGUUCUGAAUGGAAGGGCCAUCGCUCAACGGAUAAAAGGUACUCCGGGGAUAACAGGCUGAUACCGCCCAAGAGUUCAUAUCGACGGCGGUGUUUGGCACCUCGAUGUCGGCUCAUCACAUCCUGGGGCUGAAGUAGGUCCCAAGGGUAUGGCUGUUCGCCAUUUAAAGUGGUACGCGAGCUGGGUUUAGAACGUCGUGAGACAGUUCGGUCCCUAUCUGCCGUGGGCGCUGGAGAACUGAGGGGGGCUGCUCCUAGUACGAGAGGACCGGAGUGGACGCAUCACUGGUGUUCGGGUUGUCAUGCCAAUGGCACUGCCCGGUAGCUAAAUGCGGAAGAGAUAAGUGCUGAAAGCAUCUAAGCACGAAACUUGCCCCGAGAUGAGUUCUCCCUGACCCUUUAAGGGUCCUGAAGGAACGUUGAAGACGACGACGUUGAUAGGCCGGGUGUGUAAGCGCAGCGAUGCGUUGAGCUAACCGGUACUAAUGAACCGUGAGGCUUAACCUUACAACGCCGAAGGUGUUU